GGAGGGGUGCGAGCGUUAAUCGGAAUUACUGGGCGUAAAGCGCGCGUAGGGCGGUCUGAUCAGUCGGGAUGUGAAAGCCCUGGGCUUAACCUGGGAAUUGCAUUCGAUACUGUCAGGCUAGAGUAUGGGAGAGGGAAGUGGAAUUUCCGGUGUAGCGGUGAAAUGCGUAGAUAUCGGAAGGAACACCAGUGGCGAAGGCGACUUCCUGGCCCAAUACUGACGCUGAGGUGCGAAAGCGUGGGUAGCGAACAGGAUUAGAUACCCUGGUAGUCCACGCCGUAAACGAUGAGAACUAGAUGUCGGGAGGAUUUACCUCUCGGUGUCGCAGCUAACGCGUUAAGUUCUCCGCCUGGGGAGUACGCCGGCAACGGUA
This 373-nucleotide ribosomal RNA is filed under the name uncultured organism. RNAcentral describes it as "partial 16S ribosomal RNA". It matches the Rfam family "Bacterial small subunit ribosomal RNA", at positions 526 to 896 of the family's 1533-position model. The record is from RNAcentral.